This is a ribosomal RNA of 837 nucleotides. It matches the Rfam family "Eukaryotic small subunit ribosomal RNA", at positions 922 to 1783 of the family's 1831-position model.
GGACCGUAGCAAGACGAACUACAGCGAAAGCAUUUGCCAAGAAUGUCUUCAUUAAUCAAGAACGAAAGUCAGAGGUUCGAAGGCGAUCAGAUACCGCCCUAGUUCUGACCGUAAACGAUGCCAACUAGCGAUCCGCCGGUGGAAUUUUUGCCCUGGUGGGGAGCUUCCCGGAAACGAAAGUCUUCCGGUUCCGGGGGAAGUAUGGUUGCAAAGCUGAAACUUAAAGGAAUUGACGGAAGGGCACCACCAGGUAGUGGAGCCUGCGGCUUAAUUUGACUCAACACGGGGAAACUCACCCGGCCCGGACACCGUGAGGAUUGACAGAUUGAUAGCUUUUUCAUGAUUCGGUGGAUGGUGGUGCAUGGCCGUUCUUAGUUCGUGGAGCGAUUUGUCUGGUUUAUUCCGAUAACGAGCGAGACUCUAGCCUACUAACUAGUCAGCACAUUGCCUUUGUGUGCGCGGCUUCUUAGAGGGAUUUUCGGUGUACAGCCGCACGAAAUUGAGCAAUAACAGGUCUGUGAUGCCCUUAGAUGUCCGGGGCUGCACGCGCGCUACACUGGCAAAAUCAGCGUGCUUGUCCUUCCCCGAAAGGGGUUGGUAAACCCUUGAGAAUUUGCCGUGAUUGGGAUCGGAAAUUGCAAUUAUUUUCCGUGAACGAGGAAUUCCAAGUAAGUGCGAGUCAUCAACUCGCGUUGAUUACGUCCCUGCCCUUUGUACACACCGCCCGUCGCCGCCCGGGACUGAGCCAUUUCGAGAAACUCGGGGACCGCUGAUUUGGUGGCUUUCGGGUCGCCAUUUCGGUGGAAACCGAUUUAAUCGCAGUGGCUUGAACCGGGC